GGUAGCUAUGAUUUAGUUUUAAUCUUACUGCUGACAUGGGAGAAAUUAGGUUGGGAUUCUGGCUGUUUGGGAUAGUAAAAGCAGUCUAAGAAGAUAAAUCAAAGAGAAUUUGAGGGACUGUGAGUGCAAUGGAUCAAAACAAAGCAAUUCUUUCCCCAUCUCCUUCUCUGCCCUCUUUGAGCCUGCUGUAAGUUGCCCCUAGCAAUUAUUUUUUAAAAAGGAUAGUCAUGCUUAGUAGGACUGUCUUCUUCUAAACUAAUGCCAGUACAUUGGUAAUAGCAGCAAGGAAACAGACCAAACACUAAAAAAAUCUGUUCUUUGUUUUCUGCGGGAAGAAAUUAAGAUCUGAUGGUAGGGAUUUUUCUUAAGCAGCAGAAAGUAAAUUGUUUCAAAGCCAUGUGUGUUCCAGCUCUGUGUAUAGUUAUAUUCUGUGAUAGACUAAAUCAUCUGCAUUGGAAGCAAUGGGAAUUGGAUUAUAGUUCAAUUAUUUUGGUAGUGUAUGGCUUGAAAUAGAUGAAUAAGAGCCACUACUUAUUGUAAUAAAGGGACAGAAUGUGUAACUGUGUCCCCCAAAUGUGUGGGAUGAUGACUAGAGGGGACUCAGUUCUGCAGGACUCUGAGUUCUUGGAGUCCUGGAAGCCACUUAAAUUCAUGCUGAACAUACAGUGAGGGUUGCCCUUCACCCCAAGAAACCUGCAGACACUGAUGUAAAGAGCUGUGGUUACCAGCAGCCUGGAAGGAGUGAGGGUCUGCCUGGCUGGGACGAAGAUGGAUGAGCUGGGGCUCCAGCAGUGGUGGCUGAAUGGGCUCUAAAGCUGCUAGUGAAUUCCCAGCAGGACAGACUAUUCCUGCUUUCCAGAGUUCAGAAGCAGGUUUUUACAGGAAUUUGAGCUUUACCCUUUUCCUUCAGAGGAAGUAAGCUCUUAUAGCAUUCUCUAAGAAAAAAGAGGGAAUAAUUAUAACUAUUUGAGAAAUCAGAUUUCUGUGAUUUCCCUGCAGCUCCCUUCUGCAGUGAGGGGCUGGAGUGAUAUGGGAGGGAAGGGCUGUCACAGCCAGUUCCUGGAGUUCAGGCGUUGUGAUACACUCCUGUAGAGUUCAUUCCUUAACAAGAAAUGUCGUGGUAGAUGUAUUAUGUACCUGCUCUGACACGUUCCUGCAGAAAAUAUUCUAGUCACCAGCAACUGACCCCAUGUGAAUUGAAAGACUUAUUUAUUAGGAAAUCAGAUGAAAGGUAGCUUUAUGCAAGCCAGCUAGAGUUGUGAAAGGAAGCCACAUUCUAGAUGAAAGGGAACACUUAGUCCAAAGUAAAAUAUGUACUGUGUUUGGUCACAUCCCUGGCAUGACGGAGGAUGGCUUCCUACCCACAAAUGAUGAUAUUGUCUUCAGAUAAUUGCUCCCUUAUCAGAUAAAUCACUGAAUUUCUCAUUAAAAAAUGAGUAUAUUCUUCUUGAGGGUUGCUGUGGUGUCAGUCCAUGAUGUGUGGGUGGGGAUAGAGCCCUGCCACGAUGCCAAUGAACCCGGCCAGUUCUGCUGGGAUGCUGGGCUUAGUGCUUCCCAACAGUUUCCUUUUGUUUGCUUUCACAGCCAUUUCAGGCAGCACUGAAAAAGUCCACUAAGCCCAGUAUCUCUUGCUCCUGCUGCAACAGUGGGAGCUGUGUGUCCUGGUGCUGCCAGCUCUCCCUCUGCACCACGUGAGGAGCAAUCAUGGCCUCGUUGGAAACAGCUCAAGUCUGUGAGAGUUCACAAGAUUGGAAUAUUGCACUCACAAAGUACAACCAAGAUGAUGUAGCAUCCAUCACUUCAGCACAAACAGAUGCAUUUUCACAGACUUCUUGGGAAGAAGAGCAUUUCAGCCAGCCUGUCUGCCCUAGAGUACACAGGGUUCAUCUGACAAGACUGAGUCCUGCUGAGCUGGGGGCAUGGGGGACAGGACUGCACCACCCUUUGGAAAUCAAAUACAAAAGGAAUAUUGGAAAGGAACUGAAGGAAUGAGCAUCAAACAAUCACCUCCUUUUCCAUCAUCUCCUCCUGUUGUCACUGUAAUCCCCAAUACAAGCUGCUUCAAAAUGCAGAGAGCCUUUCAGAAGAUUAUCUGUAUCAAUGCAGGCUUUGAAGUACGGGCUGCUGGCAUCUCAUUACAGACAGAGAUCAAACCUCUGAGAUUAACGUGGUCCUGGGCCUGCUGGACUUCAUUCACACAUCACAGAAGUGCUAAGCUAUCAAAGUGCAGGGCUCUGUCUGUGUGUUACUUUCUCAGCCAUAAAUCCAGCAGCACGAACCCACUGACAUUUAUUUUUUUUUAACAAAUGAGUCCUUUCGGCCUGUAAGGUGUCUGUUUCUUCAUGGGGCUGAAUACAGUUUGGGAAACUGAAACAGCCCAAACUGAAAGAUAAAUUGAAGUAAUAUCCUUGGGGUAUUUGGGCCGGAUGUUGACUGUAUCCUUUUCUUUUGGGAAAGAAAACAGGAAGCCAUUUGAACUUCAGCCUUGCCCACUGAGGACAAAUCCAGGAUGUAAAGGGCAAUCCUGGUGCCAGGCAUUUUCUGCUCUGUUCUGGGACUCGUGGCAGUGCAGGCUCCAUGCCAGGACGAGUCAGUGCCUGCACAUGCUGCUUUGAGUUAGCUUAGAGACAGCAUGUCCCCACCAGCCCAUCCCACUCCAGCCACCAGUCCCUUGAACAGCAGAUGCUAAAGUACAGGAGGUGGGUUUGCUUCCACCUCAAAAUAUUCUGAAGAUGGGAGAUGACUACAAGCCAUUCUAUCUCCUGUACUACAACUGCAUUUAGGGCAGGGUUGUACUAAUAAGUUGUGCCAGAGCCUGAAGGCUCAGGUGUGCCAGCUCUCCCCACCACUGCAGCAGCAGCUGGGAGCUCACAGAGGCCAUUUCCUGCUUCUGGGCUGGAAUUUGCAGGUCAUGUUUAGCCUUCUGCUGCCAUUACCACGUAGCAAACUCAAAAUAGUUGUGAAAUGCAACAACAGCAUUCAGGAGCAGUUUUAUUAAUGAAAUCUACUUGCAUGCUCCCAAGCACUGUGAGAGAUGGCUGCCUGUCUGGAUGGAAUUUUUCUAGCUGGAUCCGCAUGUGUGCCUUGCUGAAGGAGCAGUGACACAGUUCUGAGAGGAUUGUGCUGGGAAGGAUGUUUGACUUUGAAGUUGGGGUCACCCACAUGCCUAGCAGGCACAUCAAUAUCAUAUGCAAGAUGUUCCCAUCCAAGGGGGAGAGCAGAUGAACAGGUUUUUUGAAGCUAGCAGGAAAAGAAAGGAAAAUCAGCUAAAACUGCUAGGCCAACAUAGUGCUGCAUAGAGUCUUGAAGGUAACCAGGACCUGGUGGAGAUAUGUCAGCAUCUCAACAGGAUGAGCC
Molecule: non-coding RNA, 3357 nt
Organism: Sturnus vulgaris (Common starling)
Lineage: Eukaryota; Metazoa; Chordata; Aves; Passeriformes; Sturnidae
Source: RefSeq, a predicted model, not a curated record